UAGGGAAUCUUCGGCAAUGGACGAAAGUCUGACCGAGCAACGCCGCGUGAGUGAAGAAGGUUUUCGGAUCGUAAAACUCUGUUGUUAGAGAAGAACAAGGACGUUAGUAACUGAACGUCCCCUGACGGUAUCUAACCAGAAAGCCACGGCUAACUACGUGCCAGCAGCCGCGGUAAUACGUAGGUGGCAAGCGUUGUCCGGAUUUAUUGGGCGUAAAGCGAGCGCAGGCGGUUUCUUAAGUCUGAUGUGAAAGCCCCCGGCUCAACCGGGGAGGGUCAUUGGAAACUGGGAGACUUGAGCGCAGAAGAGGAGAGUGGAAUUCCAUGUGUAGCGGUGAAAUGCGUAGAUAUAUGGAGGAACACCAGUGGCGAAGGCGGCUCUCUGGUCUGUAACUGACGCUGAGGCUCGAAAGCGUGGGGAGCAAACAGG
RNAcentral lists this ribosomal RNA (429 nucleotides) under Gemmatimonadota bacterium. Its description in RNAcentral is "Gemmatimonadetes bacterium partial 16S ribosomal RNA". It matches the Rfam family "Bacterial small subunit ribosomal RNA", at positions 355 to 776 of the family's 1533-position model. Lineage: Bacteria; Pseudomonadati; Gemmatimonadota. The record is from RNAcentral.